CCGCCCGUCAAACCACGAAAGUUGGUAAUGCCCAACGCCGGUGGCCUAACUCGCAAGAGAGGGAGCCGUCUAAGGCAGGAUCGAUGAUUGGGGUUAAGUCGUAACAAGGUAUCCCUACGGGAACGUGGGGAUGGAUCACCUCCUUUCUAAGGAAAACAAGGCUUAAGAAGCCGAGAUCGCAUCUCAUAAAGAGAUGAUACAAACCAAUUCGUAAUGAAAUCAUCAUAUUCAGUUUUGAAAGACUUAACAGUUUUUCAGUAAAAAAAAGAAGUUUUAGAUUAGAUCUUUGAAAAGUAGAUAAAUUCUGUCGUAAGGUUAAGGAAGUAAGGGCACACAGUGGAUGCCUUGGCACUAAGCGCCGAUGAAGGACGCAACUAACAGCGAAAUGCUACGGGGAGCGGUAAGUACGCGACGAUCCGUAGGAAUCCGAAUGGGGGAACCCGGCAUGUAGAAGACAUGUCACUCUAGCAAUAGAGGGGGAUACGCAGGGAACUGAAAUAUCUAAGUACCUGCAGGAAAAGAAAGUAACAACGAUUCUUCUAGUAGCGACGAGCGAACGAGGAGGAGCCUGAUUAUUCUAACAGUUACAAAAUCAAUUAAUAGACGAGCAAGUUGGGAAGCUUGACCAUAGAAGGUGAAAGUCCUGUAGUCGAAAUUAAUGGAUCUGGGAAUAACGAAAAGUAGGGCGGGACACGAGAAAUCCCGUUUGAAGAACGGAGGACCAUCUCCGAAGGCUAAAUACGACUUAGUGACCGAUAGUGAACCA
Molecule: small RNA, 766 nt
Filed under: Acholeplasma brassicae
Lineage: Bacteria; Bacillati; Mycoplasmatota; Mollicutes; Acholeplasmatales; Acholeplasmataceae
Description: bacterial LSU rRNA
Rfam family: Bacterial large subunit ribosomal RNA (bases 314-766)
Source: RNAcentral